GUCCACGCCCUAAACGAUGUCAACUAGCUGUUGGGGCCUUCGGGCCUUAGUAGCGCAGCUAACGCGUGAAGUUGACCGCCUGGGGAGUACGGUCGCAAGAUUAAAAACUCAAAAGGAAUUGACGGGGACCCGCACAAGCGGUGGAUGAUGUGGAUUAAUUCGAUGCAACGCGAAAAAACCUUACCUACCCUUGACAUGUCUGGAAUCCUUUAGAGAUAGAGGAGUGCUCGCAAGAGAACCGGAACACAGGUGCUGCAUGGCUGUCGU
This 267-nucleotide ribosomal RNA is filed under the name uncultured bacterium. RNAcentral describes it as "partial 16S ribosomal RNA". It matches the Rfam family "Bacterial small subunit ribosomal RNA", at positions 793 to 1055 of the family's 1533-position model. The record is from RNAcentral.